RNAcentral lists this ribosomal RNA (253 nucleotides) under uncultured bacterium. RNAcentral describes it as "partial 16S ribosomal RNA". It matches the Rfam family "Bacterial small subunit ribosomal RNA", at positions 524 to 776 of the family's 1533-position model. The record is from RNAcentral.
UACAGAGGGUGCAAGCGUUGUUCGGAAUUAUUGGGCGUAAAGGGCGCGUAGGCGGUGCUGUAAGUCUGUGGUGAAAUCUCUGGGCUCAACUCAGAGUCUGCCAUAGAAACUGCAGUGCUGGAGUGUGGGAGAGGUGAGUGGAAUUCCCGGUGAAGCGGUGAAAUGCGUAGAUAUCGGGAGGAACACCUGUGGCGAAAGCGGCUCACUGGACCACAACUGACGCUGAGGCGCGAAAGCUAGGGGAGCAAACAGG